CGGCAAUAGCUCAAAUUUGAAAUCUGGCUCUUUCAGGGUCCGAGUUGUAGUCUAGAGAAGCAUCAUCCGUGCUGGACCAUGUACAAGUCUCUUGGAACAGAGCGUCAUAGAGGGUGAGAAUCCCGUCCUUGACAUGGACUCCCAGUACUUUGUGUUGUGCUCUCAAC
Molecule: ribosomal RNA, 167 nt
Filed under: Ceratobasidiaceae sp.
Lineage: Eukaryota; Fungi; Basidiomycota; Agaricomycetes; Cantharellales; Ceratobasidiaceae
Description: partial large subunit ribosomal RNA
Rfam family: Eukaryotic large subunit ribosomal RNA
Source: RNAcentral